This 253-nucleotide ribosomal RNA is filed under the name uncultured bacterium. RNAcentral's name for it is "partial 16S ribosomal RNA". It matches the Rfam family "Bacterial small subunit ribosomal RNA", at positions 524 to 776 of the family's 1533-position model. The record is from RNAcentral.
UACGAGGGGGGCGAGCGUUGUUCGGAAUUACUGGGCGUAAAGGGCGCGUAGGCGGGAUGGCAAGUCGGUCGUGAAAUCCCUCGGCUCAACUGAGGAUCGUCGAUCGAUACUGCCGUUCUUGAGGAUUGCAGAGGAGACUGGAAUUCCCGGUGUAGCGGUGAAAUGUGUAGAGAUCGGGAGGAACACCGGUGGCGAAGGCGGGUCUCUGGGCAAUUCCUGACGCUGAGGCGCGAAAGCGUGGGGAGCAAACGGG